RNAcentral lists this small nucleolar RNA (127 nucleotides) under Sorex araneus (European shrew). The record is from RNAcentral. Lineage: Eukaryota; Metazoa; Chordata; Mammalia; Eulipotyphla; Soricidae.
CUCUGAAGCACUGAAUGUAGUUUCACUGUUCUCAUCAUUAAACUUUGGUACACUAAAACAUAGGCUAAGGGUGAAGAUAGGAUAGAAGAUGGUGUUACUCUACUCAUUUUUCUCCCAGCUUACAAAA